GGCUGAGAACAAUGUUUGGAAGCUCCUUGGCCACACGGCCAACCUGCCCAGGCCCCUCUGUGAGCCUGGUGAGUGACCCGGACCUGCCUAACCAGUGUCUGUGGAAGCUGGCCAGCUUCCACAGACAGAAACCGAUGAUGUCACCCCUCCGGUGGCGCGAAGCUCUGGAUCAAGGCGUUUCCCUCAGGAGUCUCCGAGGGAAGGUUCCUCCUGUCCUCUCCUCUUCCUCACUCCCCUCAUCAAUGUCAUCCAGUGGUGCCAGUCACUGGAGUGAGGGCCUGCUCCCAGCGCACGAGGAUCCCAUCUGGAAAUCUUUAGAUCUGCAAAGACCUGGUUUCCAGGGAAGGUCACCUGCUGAGGUCCUACAGUACUGGGCAGAGGCCGCGGCCCAGAAGGCACAGGACCCAGAGUGCCCUGGCUGAAGAGUGGAGUCGCGGGCUUCCUGGGUGUGAGGUGCGGCAAGAGCUCUCGGUUAACCAGUGGGGUCACAGCUGGGGAAACUGAGGCAGCGAGCCAUUCAUCACCUGCCAGGUCACACACUGCUGCGUGCUGGAGGACACCGGGAGCCAGCCAGGACAUGAGCCCGUGGAGUGUUCCUACCUGGGAUGGAAGCCUAACAAACCAGAGGCAGGAGGCGUUUCUGAAGGUCCCUGGCUAGCCCCUCGGAGGGAAGGAGGGGCCUUGGGAGAGGGGAUGACCCGAGCCAGGGCCCUGAGGCUGCGGGCCCCUCCCCCCUCUCUGUCCCUCUGCCGGAGAACCUUCUCCCCUGCCAGCCUGGGCUUCUUUGCACCUGGACAAACCCUUGGGCCCAGGUGGGUUGGUUUCAGGUAGAGAGAUCCUCAGGAAGGACCUGGAUUGGUCUGUUUUGUCACAUGCCCAGCUUCAGCCCGCCACACUGCAAGGGGUUGGCUCUCUAAUUGGUCCAGCUGGGGGGGUGGUGUCCAAUCCCUCCAGGGAGGAGGGCGGGCUCAAGUGAGGAGCUGGUAACUCCCCCUGGGACCCCAGAGGGGGCAGCAGUGGUUCCCAGAAGAAGAAGCCCGCACAGGGCUGGGUGGACAGAUCUGGCUGCCACCCCAGGGCUUUGAGCAGGAAGCUCCGCCCUGACGCACUGUGGCCUGGGCCAGUGGGGGGCGGGGAGUGUGCCCGGACCUCUUGUGCACACCAAGGAAGAGGAGGGCCACGGAGCUGCACCCGCAGGGGAGAGGGAGGAUCCGAGAGGUCCACCUGGCUCUGCUUUCUCACCACUCCCCGGGCAUCCCCCCUCCCUUCCUGGCACUUGCUGCCCCAGGAAAAGUGCGAUGGCGGAAGGCUGAGGCCUGCCAACGGGAGUAGGCAGAGGUUCCCCACCCGGCAGAGCUCCUGGGGACCCACGGAGGAGGGGGGACACGCACCUGACCUCAGAGGCAGGCCCAGGGCAGGUGCCGGAGGGGAGAGGCCCAGGGAGCCCAGGGUCAGCACUGCCACUGGCCUGUAGGAUGGCUUCCCCAGACCACGCUGGGCACGGGGCUUGGCAGGUGGCCAGGCUGGGUGCCAAGCUGCACUUACCACCUCUAUGCUCUCUUGCCCUGCUCCCUGGUGGCCCACGUAAAUGGUGGCCGGGGCUCCCAGGUAAAUGGGGGCUACCAGGCCCCAGAGGGGUGAGGAUCAUCAGGCGUUGCCCCUUCUGGUUUGUGAAGAUGGACGUCCCUGAAGACCUGACCGAGGACCAGCCCACCUGGUGCCUCACCCCGAAAUCCUGACUCAAGAGCUGAAGUUGUGUUUCCCGCCAGACUGGCAGAGUGGGGCUUAGGGACUGAAAUACCCGGCAGAAAACAGAAACCCUCCUUACACGACUACGGGCAUGGAGCGGGAUUCACGUCCAGCACGCUCACGUGACCUCCUGUUACUCCCACCUUCACCCCGGAGGUUGGAAGCCCUGUUCCUAUCGCACAGAUGAGAAAGAUUGCAGGAUCCAACUGGUUUUGCUGCCUCCCAGGACCACCCUUCCGUAAGUCCCCAGUAAGUAGCACUCUGCAAUCCUGGAUCUGUCUGCUUCUCUUUCUUUCAUCUCAUGGCACCUUGGGGCUGGGUUGCUCCUGAGCAGCUGCUAUGGACAGUGCUUCUGUGAACAAGGGUGUUGACAUGUGUCAUCAUUUCUCUUGGACACACACCUAGGAAUGCUCAAACGCUCUGUGGCCACCUUUCCCAGGAACCACCAAACUGUUUUCCAAACUGGCCGGGUGCAAAAGCUGGGCACGGUGGCCUGGAGGCUGAGACAGGAGGAUCCCAACUUCAAAGACAGCCUCAGCUACUUAGGGAGACUCUGUCUCAAAAUGAAAAAUAAAGAAUGACCGGGGAUGAA
This is a long non-coding RNA of Marmota monax (woodchuck), 2341 nucleotides long. RefSeq lists it as uncharacterized. NCBI's taxonomy places the organism in Eukaryota, Metazoa, Chordata, Mammalia, Rodentia, Sciuridae. The transcript has 2 exons. The record is from RefSeq and is a predicted model, not a curated record.